CAGGCUUAACACAUGCAAGUCGAGGGGCAGCAUGGUCUUAGCUUGCUAAGGCCGAUGGCGACCGGCGCACGGGUGAGUAACACGUAUCCAACCUGCCGUCUACUCUUGGACAGCCUUCUGAAAGGAAGAUUAAUACAAGAUGGCAUCAUGAGUCCGCAUGUUCACAUGAUUAAAGGUAUUCCGGUAGACGAUGGGGAUGCGUUCCAUUAGAUAGUAGGCGGGGUAACGGCCCACCUAGUCUUCGAUGGAUAGGGGUUCUGAGAGGAAGGUCCCCCACAUUGGAACUGAGACACGGUCCAAACUCCUACGGGAGGCAGCAGUGAGGAAUAUUGGUCAAUGGGCGAGAGCCUGAACCAGCCAAGUAGCGUGAAGGAUGACUGCCCUAUGGGUUGUAAACUUCUUUUAUAAAGGAAUAAAGUCGGGUAUGGAUACCCGUUUGCAUGUACUUUAUGAAUAAGGAUCGGCUAACUCCGUGCCAGCAGCCGCGGUAAUACGGAGGAUCCGAGCGUUAUCCGGAUUUAUUGGGUUUAAAGGGAGCGUAGAUGGAUGUUUAAGUCAGUUGUGAAAGUUUGCGGCUCAACCGUAAAAUUGCAGUUGAUACUGGAUAUCUUGAGUGCAGUUGAGGCAGGCGGAAUUCGUGGUGUAGCGGUGAAAUGCUUAGAUAUCACGAAGAACUCCGAUUGCGAAGGCAGCCUGCUAAGCUGCAACUGACAUUGAGGCUCGAAAGUGUAGGUAUCAAACAGGAUUAGAUACCCUGGUAGUCCACACGGUAAACGAUGAAUACUCGCUGUUUGCGAUAUACAGCAAGCGGCCAAGCGAAAGCGUUAAGUAUUCCACCUGGGGAGUACGCCGGCAACGGUGAAACUCAAAGGAAUUGACGGGGGCCCGCACAAGCGGAGGAACAUGUGGUUUAAUUCGAUGAUACGCGAGGAACCUUACCCGGGCUUAAAUUGCAGAUGAAUUACGGUGAAAGCCGUAAGCCGCAAGGCAUCUGUGAAGGUGCUGCAUGGUUGUCGUCAGCUCGUGCCGUGAGGUGUCGGCUUAAGUGCCAUAACGAGCGCAACCCUUGUUGUCAGUUACUAACAGGUUCCGCUGAGGACUCUGACAAGACUGCCAUCGUAAGAUGUGAGGAAGGUGGGGAUGACGUCAAAUCAGCACGGCCCUUACGUCCGGGGCUACACACGUGUUACAAUGGGGGGUACAGAGGGCCGCUACCACGCGAGUGGAUGCCAAUCCCCAAAACCUCUCUCAGUUCGGACUGGAGUCUGCAACCCGACUCCACGAAGCUGGAUUCGCUAGUAAUCGCGCAUCAGCCACGGCGCGGUGAAUACGUUCCCGGGCCUUGUACACACCGCCCGUCAAGCCAUGGGAGCCGGGGGUACCUGAAGUGCGUAACCGCGAGGAGCGCCCUAGGGUAAAACUGGUGACUGGGGCUAAG
This 1438-nucleotide ribosomal RNA is filed under the name uncultured organism. RNAcentral describes it as "16S ribosomal RNA". It matches the Rfam family "Bacterial small subunit ribosomal RNA". The record is from RNAcentral.